RNAcentral lists this non-coding RNA (23 nucleotides) under Arabidopsis thaliana (thale cress). Lineage: Eukaryota; Viridiplantae; Streptophyta; Magnoliopsida; Brassicales; Brassicaceae. The record is from RNAcentral.
UCAUGCAGAUUUCUCCAAAAUUU